GUUUCAUCCUCACAAUAAUCCUAUAAGGUGGGCACUGCUCCUACCACCCCCCAUUUUCUGGAUGGAGAAACCGAGGACCAGAGAAAUUAACUCGCCCAAGUCACACUGCUGGCAAACCCUGGAGCAGGGCUAUGAAGCUGGACCCUUCUGACCGCUCUGGGGGUUCCAAAGGCUCCAGGGCUAAGCCCAAAAUUGGCCCAUCCACAGCAAUUAAAAGCUUCCUUCGCAGACCCUGGGGAUUUCUCUCUGAUCAAUCAGAAAACACCGCAGGUGGGAAACAGCCAAAGCCAAG
RNAcentral lists this long non-coding RNA (292 nucleotides) under Heterocephalus glaber (naked mole-rat). RNAcentral describes it as "lncRNA (ENSHGLG00000042475.1)". Lineage: Eukaryota; Metazoa; Chordata; Mammalia; Rodentia; Bathyergidae. The record is from RNAcentral.